UACAGAAAGGGCAAGCGUUAUUCGGAAUUACUGGGCGUAAAGCGCGUGUAGGCGGCCAUGCAAGUCGGAUGUGAAAGCCCUCGGCUCAACCGGGGAAGUGCACUCGAAACUGCAAGGCUAGAGUCUCGGAGAGGAUCGUGGAAUUCUCGGUGUAGCAGUGAAAUGCGUAGAUAUCGAGAGGAACACCAGUGGCGAAGGCAAGUCCCUGGACAGAUCCUGACGCUGAGGCACGAAAGCUAGGGGAGCAAACAGG
This 253-nucleotide ribosomal RNA is filed under the name uncultured bacterium. RNAcentral describes it as "partial 16S ribosomal RNA". It matches the Rfam family "Bacterial small subunit ribosomal RNA", at positions 524 to 776 of the family's 1533-position model. The record is from RNAcentral.